This 64-nucleotide transfer RNA is filed under the name Tachina stackelbergi. Its description in RNAcentral is "tRNA-Arg". The record is from RNAcentral. Lineage: Eukaryota; Metazoa; Arthropoda; Insecta; Diptera; Tachinidae.
GAAUAUGAAGUGAUAUAUCACAAUUAGUUUCGACCUAAUUCUAGGUAAUACUUACCCUUAUUCU